UGUCCAAUGCGGGAAUCGAACCCGGGUCGUAAUGGUCGAAAACCAAACGGUUUAACCGCCUUCCACCAACCCCCCAGGC
Molecule: transfer RNA, 79 nt
Filed under: Cordylochernes scorpioides
Lineage: Eukaryota; Metazoa; Arthropoda; Arachnida; Pseudoscorpiones; Chernetidae
Description: tRNA-Glu
Source: RNAcentral